CCAGACUCCUACGGGAGGCAGCAGUGGGGAAUAUUGCACAAUGGGGGAAACCCUGAUGCAGCGACGCCGCGUGAGUGAAGAAGUAUCUCGGUACGUAAAGCUCUAUCAGCAGGGAAGAUAAUGACGGUACCUGACCAAGAAGCCCCGGCUAACUACGUGCCAGCAGCCGCGGUAAUACGUAGGGGGCAAGCGUUAUCCGGAUUUACUGGGUGUAAAGGGAGCGUAGACGGCAGCACAAGUCUGGAGUGAAAUCCCGGGGCUUAACCCCGGAACUGCUUUGGAAACUGUGCGGCUGGAGUGCAGGAGGGGUAAGCGGAAUUCCUAGUGUAGCGGUGAAAUGCGUAGAUAUUGGGAGGAACACCAGUGGCGAAGGCGGCCUGCUGGACAUUAACUGACGCUGAGGCGCGAAAGCGUGGGGAGCAAACAGGAUUAGAUACCCCAGUAC
This 445-nucleotide ribosomal RNA is filed under the name uncultured bacterium. Its description in RNAcentral is "bacterial SSU rRNA". It matches the Rfam family "Bacterial small subunit ribosomal RNA", at positions 331 to 793 of the family's 1533-position model. The record is from RNAcentral.